GACGUAGGGCGCGAGCGUUGUCCGGAUUUAUUGGGCGUAAAGAGCUCGUAGGCGGCUCAUCGCGUCUGCCGUGAAAACCCGCAGCUCAACUGCGGGCUUGCGGUUGAUACGGGUGGGCUGGAGUUCGGUAGGGGAGACUGGAAUUCCUGGUGUAGCGGUGAAAUGCGUAGAUAUCGUUUGGAACGCCAAUGGUGAAAACAGGUUGCUGGGAGUGUGCUGACGCUGAGACACGAAAGCCAGGGGAGCAAACGGG
Molecule: ribosomal RNA, 253 nt
Filed under: uncultured bacterium
Lineage: Bacteria
Description: partial 16S ribosomal RNA
Rfam family: Bacterial small subunit ribosomal RNA
Source: RNAcentral